AAUAAACGUUAUUGCCUAUAUAAUUACCAAGAUAUGGUUGGUGAGUUUCUACCUAGGGCCGUAAAGCCUAGACUAUAAGCAAAAAGAUUUU
Molecule: non-coding RNA, 91 nt
Filed under: Apilactobacillus bombintestini
Lineage: Bacteria; Bacillati; Bacillota; Bacilli; Lactobacillales; Lactobacillaceae
Description: Purine riboswitch
Rfam family: Purine riboswitch aptamer
About the family: Riboswitches are metabolite binding domains within certain messenger RNAs that serve as precision sensors for their corresponding targets. Allosteric rearrangement of mRNA structure is mediated by ligand binding, and this results in modulation of gene expression.
Source: RNAcentral